CCACCAGAGUGCCUAUUUCGGGUCACUUUUGCCGGUGUUCUGGGAAUUUCUCCUACCCCGCAAACCGUCCUACCCGUUGUUCCUGAGCAUGUGCGCGCAUGCGCACAACACAUAAAGCGAAGCAAAGCGCAUCCGGCUGUGAUUUAAUGCUACCCCGUUGUCAUAUUUGCAGGAAAAUAGCUUCGGUGAAGUCUGCUGUCAAGUUACUGGACACGUGGUAUUUGCACAACACUUCUGAAUCCGCAGCUUCGGUGUUUUAAGGCUGUUUCGAUAUGGAGAAGAAGUGGGAAGAGAUUUACGCGUUCAUUUCUGCGGGCUCCUACCCUUCAGGAUAUGACAAGGCUCAGAGGCAAAACCUCAGAAGAUAUGCCUCAAAAUUCCAACAAAAGGAUGGAGAACUCUUUGUUGGAACCAGAAAAGUAGUAAAAACCAUGGAUGAUGCCAGGAAGAUAUUUCAUGAGUUUCAUUCAUCUCCAAUUGGAGGACACACUGGCACA
Long non-coding RNA from Oreochromis aureus, 497 nucleotides. RefSeq lists it as uncharacterized. NCBI's taxonomy places the organism in Eukaryota, Metazoa, Chordata, Actinopteri, Cichliformes, Cichlidae. The transcript is spliced from 4 exons. The record is from RefSeq and is a predicted model, not a curated record.